This 208-nucleotide non-coding RNA is filed under the name Symbiodinium sp. clade D. The record is from RNAcentral. Lineage: Eukaryota; Dinophyceae; Suessiales; Symbiodiniaceae.
CACGCUUUAAACGAAACAAAGAAGCACGAGAACAAAACACGAAUGAAAAGGACAAAAGAAAAUGAACGGCGCGCGUUUCACUUGCCCUUUCAUUUUAAUUUAGUCUUUUGUUCUCUUUCAUUCAUUAACAAUCUUAUGGUCUGGAUUUGUCCUUUGUCUUUCCUUUGUGUUCUUUGCUUUAAAUUAAAACAAGCGGAAACAAAUGAGC